Salvia miltiorrhiza (redroot sage) is the source of this 2357-nucleotide long non-coding RNA. RefSeq lists it as uncharacterized. The record is from RefSeq and is a predicted model, not a curated record. NCBI's taxonomy places the organism in Eukaryota, Viridiplantae, Streptophyta, Magnoliopsida, Lamiales, Lamiaceae. The transcript has 2 exons.
UUCAAUUUUCAAUUUGGCUAAUCUCCAGUUUGGCCCAAAGUUGAGAUAAGUAGAUACUUCUUAUUUUGGAUAUUUGGUAUCAGAUUUUUCUAAUCUCUCCGGCCUGGCUUAUUUGUCAAAUUAAUUAGUUGCUCCAGCUUGUAAGCAAUCUGUUGAAUUCAAUUUUCCAAUUGGCUGAUUAUAGCCUGGCUCGCGAAAAGAAGAGGGGUCGACUCAAAUAGGCUAUGCUCCAGCCUGGCUAGCAAGAAGAGGAAAAUGAGAUGUCUUCUUUUGUUCCUCCGUCUGGUCCCAAUGAAGGAAAAAAAAGUGUAUGACAGCUUGAUGAUAGUUUGUAGUAUAUGUGAAUCAGGUUGAAUUCGUUUGCAAUCAUGAAUUUUGGUGAUUUAUUAGCUUGAAGAUUUUCAGAGAAAAAUUGAUCUGUAUCCAUUUUUCAACCUGGAUCGCAGUGUUUCCCUAGGUUGGAUUUAUUCCAAAAUGACAAGCUGGGUAGGCAUUUCACCAACCUGGACCGUAGGAAUUUUUAUUUUCACCACUUGGGAUUUUCUCUGACCCCUUUCGAUGAGCACAUAUUUACAGAUUGAUUUUACAGGCUGGCUGUGAAUUCACUCCUUUAUUUGAGCUCAUAUUCAAUUGGUACCUUUUACAGGCUGGUAUCAAAUUUGGAUGCAUUUGUACGAAAUACAUACACAUAUAUAUAUUUGAGGAAAGUGGAAUGUGGCUUUACACGUCUACAGGCUGGUUAUGAGUCUUAUGACUACUCGAAUUUAUAUGUUAGACGCAUUGGGAGACGGAAACCCCUAUUUCUCAUGUUUGUUCGAAAAAAUAGGAGGGGAAUUAAUUCUUUUCAGCCUGAUUAGAGAAAAGUGGAGGGAAUUAAUUUUUUCCUUGGUUAUUUCGUCUGGCUCAAAGGAAGAAAAGAAAAGGAGAGAGAGUUCCGCUUGUCCACUUUGUCUAAUUCACUUUAUCUCUCUUCUCCUCCUUUCCGUCGAGCAGGUCCCGGUAAACCUGUUAACUGGCUGUCUAAUGACCGAAAGGCACAGCUGGUUUUCUAGUUUUGGCAGUAGGAAGGAAAGUCGGCGGCGUCUAGGGUUUUCAGGCGCGGCUUCGUGGCUGCGGCCGUUGGGUGAGAAUCAGCCAGGAGGUGGCGCCUUUUGCCGGAUAUUUGAAGAAGGUGAAGUUUGGUGGCCGGAUCUCUGCGUGUUUGAGAGCGAUUCGAGCAAUGGAGAGGAGGGGAGUGAGAGAGGGCAGCGGUGGCUGCGAUUUAGGGCCUAGGGCUCCCAGAUGGCGUCGCGGUGGUCGCGCGAAUUAGGGAUCCGGGGUUCAGAGAGGUGUCAUCGCUCAAUAGACGCUGAUGGUGACUGAGGUUGAAAGGAGAGUCGAGAGAGAGAGAGGUGAGAUCGAGCGGCGAUUUCGCCGGAGGUCGAAACUGGAAGGGGUGGCUCCCUCUCUCUCUUCGAGUAUUAUCCCAACUCGAUGUGGCUCGGUUCUUCAUGGGAUUUUGUCGGAGUAUUUAGAGCAGUUAGAGAAGAGAGGAAUGGGGGCAGCGUUGGAGGGCGUCAGCCGCUGCUUGAUUCGAGAAGACGGGGCGGCGCGCGCCUGUGAGGGAAAAGAGAGAAGAGGAGCCGAGGGAUGAAGGGGGCUCUUGGCCGCCAGAGGACAGAGGGAGCGGUGUCGGUUCUUCUAGUUGUUGCCCUGAACGGACGGUGGCAGCCCGAGGCGAGAUGCGCGGCGGCGACGUGGUGUCUCCGGCGACCGCUGCUAUUUUAUGAGAUGAGAGAGACGAGUUGGGAAAGUCGCAUCUGGUAGCUCUCUGAGCUUUGAUUGUUGUUGUUGGUGGAUGGAGAGGCGGCUGUUGAUUUGUGAGAUGAGGGGGACGAGUUGGGGAGUCCAAUUCAGUGGCUUUUCGCCAGAAACUGGAAAGAGGUGAUUUGGAGGGUUACAUUAUAUAGAGGGCGGUGCUGCCGCUUGAGAGGUGCUCGGCAGUUGGCUGGGCGGAUUUGCGGCUGCUAGAUUCUGGAGGCGGCGAUGCCGCUUGUGCGUCUGUGUGUGCUGCGUCCCUAGCCAAUAAGGGGAGGGGGAGAAUCGACUCCGACGGCUAUUAGUCGGAAUUUCAGCAGCAGCGGCGGCUAAGCACAUUUUUGCUGAUUUUCAUUUUUCUUUAAUGUUUAGUCUUUUGAAAAUUAUGAUGUCCGUAAAAAUUACAUUGACAGCUGUGGAGCGGCUGAAUUGGCUAUGUUGAGAGUAGAGUUGCAGUUAUUUUCCCUUUUUGGUUGUAAUACAGUACAGUAUAGCAAAGUAAAGCAAUUCCAGUAACUUCAUCUGCAAAAUAAUAACAACAACUAAUAUCUUAUUCUUCA